RNAcentral lists this long non-coding RNA (612 nucleotides) under Bos taurus (domestic cattle). Its description in RNAcentral is "long non-coding RNA NONBTAT000032". The record is from RNAcentral. Lineage: Eukaryota; Metazoa; Chordata; Mammalia; Artiodactyla; Bovidae.
CUUGAAGAUUAAGCAUAAUCCAUUUUCCAAGCAAUUAUUGCCAUAUUGUUGUGACUUACACUCACCCACCCCUCAUUUUUUUGCAAACCAUACAGGACUAAGGACGAAUGAACCUAUGUGCCUGCAUGCACUCCUUUAGUCCUGGAGGCUAUUAACACUCUUCUUACUGCCAAGAGCUAGAUGCCUGAGGCUGCAUCAGGCAGAGCCUUAAUUAUCCAAUUUACAGUUAAAAUUCUGAUAAUGUAAUUUUUGUUUAGGUAAUUAAAAUGCCUUUUAACAAAGCCCUGAGAAAAUUCUGAGAAUAAAAGUCCUAAAGCACAUUUUCACCUCUCUUUCAUGUUUCUUAACAAUAUUGAUUUAUGAUUUAUUACAAGAGUGCACCGUGACAAUUUCUUUACCCUCUCCAAACUCAAAACUGCUACUGACUACCAUUAUUUCAAGACCAAAUUUAAGGCAAAGAACACAAGAAGGAAGACGACUCCAGGAAAACAAAACAAUGGAAAGUUAAAAUAAUCUGCAAAAAUAAAAAUCUAAGCUUGAAAUCACUUAAACCUUUAUAAUGAAAGAGAAAAAAACAAAAGAAAGCUUAUCUUUUUAUGGUCUUACCCUGAC